This 259-nucleotide long non-coding RNA is filed under the name Daucus carota (carrot). RNAcentral describes it as "long non-coding RNA (DCAR_LNC007614)". Lineage: Eukaryota; Viridiplantae; Streptophyta; Magnoliopsida; Apiales; Apiaceae. The record is from RNAcentral.
AUCAAUAUCAAUAUACUAAAAAAAUUUCUAAACUUUAUUUCAAAUCACAGUAUUUCAUUUACAUUUAAGUACCUUGUAUAAGAGUCUUGUCCUAGAUCUAGGCCGACCCUGUUUAUUCUACCUCCAUCCCUAGUUAAUUUUUGAAUUUAAUAAUUUAUUAAAUUCAAACUUGAACCCAAGUCUCGAAGCUGUUGAAUACACCCUUUCUUUUUUCUCUUUCCUCCCUUUAAGGAAAAAAGAGAAAAAAGGGGCAAAGGAU